Molecule: long non-coding RNA, 345 nt
Organism: Sapajus apella (tufted capuchin)
Lineage: Eukaryota; Metazoa; Chordata; Mammalia; Primates; Cebidae
Exons: 3
Source: RefSeq, a predicted model, not a curated record
UCCAUCCUGGGUAACAAAGCAGAAAAAAUAAUCAAUGAUAUGGAGAAACUGAACCCUCAUAUAUUGCUGGUGGGAAUGUAAAAUGAUGCAAUAAUUUUAGGAGACAGUCUGGAAAUCCCUCAAAAGGUUAAACAUAGUUAUGACAUGACCCGGCAGUUCCACUCCUAGGUAUAUAACUAAGAGGUGAAAACAUAUGUCCACAUAGCAAUGUGUACAUGAAUGUUCGCAGCCUCAUUAUUCAUCAUAGAAGGUGGAAAUAACCUACAUGUCCAUCACCUGGUGAAUGGAUACAUAAAACGUGGCAUAUUCAUACAAUGGAAUAUUAUUUGGCAGUGUAAAGAAAUA